This is a long non-coding RNA of Saccostrea cuccullata (small rock oyster), 298 nucleotides long. RefSeq lists it as uncharacterized. The record is from RefSeq and is a predicted model, not a curated record. NCBI's taxonomy places the organism in Eukaryota, Metazoa, Mollusca, Bivalvia, Ostreida, Ostreidae. The transcript is spliced from 3 exons.
UAGAUUUAACAGAUUUAAAUCCAAAAACAUAGAGAUGAAAGCCUUCCUCUUGAUUCUGCUGUGUGUCUUUUUUAUUGCCUCUGUGGAAGUUGUCAUGGCGGGACAUGGUUGCUAUGGUCCUUUAUAUCACAGCGACAGAGAUUGCAGUGAUUAUUGCAAGGCUAACCUCGGUAAAAGUGGCGGAUUCUGCAAUUCGAGAAAAUAUUGGUUCGUGUGCUAUUGUAUUCCGUAAAGAGAACUGGAAAGACAAAUUCAGGCAAAACUGGAUUCACGGUGUUGUAACGAAUUGCAAAUAAAG